CUCCAUCAAUAUUGUGAGGCCUCUGGGCAGAGGAUCAACUUGCUAAAGUCUUCGAUCUUCUUUGGGAAGCACUGCCCUGAUGGUGUCAAGGGAACUGUAAAGGGGUGCCCUGGGGUAGACAAUGAAAUUCUCCACGACUCUUAUCUCGGUAUGCCCACUGAGAUUGGUCAUGCAGCCACCAACUCCUUCGUUUUCUUACCAGGCCGGGUUUGGAAGAGGAUC
RNAcentral lists this ribosomal RNA (222 nucleotides) under Triticum aestivum (bread wheat). Its description in RNAcentral is "partial small subunit ribosomal RNA". Lineage: Eukaryota; Viridiplantae; Streptophyta; Magnoliopsida; Poales; Poaceae. The record is from RNAcentral.